GAUGAACGCUGGCGGCGUGCCUAAUACAUGCAAGUCGAGCGAACAGAUGUGGUUCUUUCUCCUCUGACGUUAACGGCGGACUGGUGAGUAACACGUGAAUACACUACCUAUCAGACUGGGAUAACUUCGGGAAACCUGAGCGAAUACCGGAUAAUAUGCAAAACCGCAUGGGUCAAUAUUGCAAGACGGUUUUGCUGUCACUUAUGGAUGGAUCCACGCGGCAUUAGCUAGUUGGUAAGGUAACGUCUUACGAAGGCGACGAUGCGUAGCGGAACGGCGAGGGUGACCGGCGACACUGGAACCGAGACCCGGUCCAGACGACUACGGGAGGGAGCAGUAGGGAUUCUGCCGCAAGGGGCGAAGGCCUGACGGAGAAACGCGGAGUGAGUGACGAAGGUCGUCGGAUCGUAAAACUCUGUUAUUAGGGAAGAACAAAUGUGUAUGGAACUAUGAACGUAUUGACGGUACCUAAUCAGAAAGCCACGGCUAACUACGUG
RNAcentral lists this ribosomal RNA (497 nucleotides) under uncultured bacterium. RNAcentral's name for it is "partial 16S ribosomal RNA". It matches the Rfam family "Bacterial small subunit ribosomal RNA", at positions 28 to 507 of the family's 1533-position model. The record is from RNAcentral.